GAUGAACGCUGGCGGCGUGCUUAACACAUGCAAGUCGAACGGAAAGGCUCCUGCUUGCUGGGGUACUCGAGUGGCGAACGGGUGAGUAACACGUGGGUGAUCUGCCCUGCACUUCGGGAUAAGCCUGGGAAACUGGGUCUAAUACCGGAUAGGACGAUGGUUUGGAUGCCAUUGUGGAAAGUUUUUGCGGUGUGGGAUGGGCUCGCGGCUUAUCAGCUUGUUGGUGGGGUAGUGGCCUACCAAGGCGUCGACGGGUAGCCGGCCUGAGAGGGUGUACGGCCACAUUGGGACUGAGAUACGGCCCAGACUCCUACGGGAGGCAGCAGUGGGGAAUAUUGCACAAUGGGCGCAAGCCCGAUGCAGCGACGCCGCGUGGGGGAUGACGGCCUUCGGGUUGUAAACUGCUUUCGCUAGGGACGAAGCGCGAGUGACGGUACCUGGUGAAGAAGCACCGGCUAACUACGUG
Molecule: ribosomal RNA, 466 nt
Filed under: uncultured bacterium
Lineage: Bacteria
Description: partial 16S ribosomal RNA
Rfam family: Bacterial small subunit ribosomal RNA
Source: RNAcentral